Molecule: transfer RNA, 71 nt
Filed under: Calditrichota bacterium
Lineage: Bacteria; Pseudomonadati; Calditrichota
Also listed under: 1 other name
Description: Calditrichaeota bacterium tRNA-Gln
Rfam family: tRNA
About the family: Transfer RNA (tRNA) molecules are approximately 80 nucleotides in length. Their secondary structure includes four short double-helical elements and three loops (D, anti-codon, and T loops). Further hydrogen bonds mediate the characteristic L-shaped molecular structure. tRNAs have two regions of fundamental functional importance: the anti-codon, which is responsible for specific mRNA codon recognition, and the 3' end, to which the tRNAs corresponding amino acid is attached (by aminoacyl-tRNA synthetases). tRNAs cope with the degeneracy of the genetic code in two manners: having more than one tRNA (with a specific anti-codon) for a particular amino acid; and 'wobble' base-pairing, i.e. permitting non-standard base-pairing at the 3rd anti-codon position.
Source: RNAcentral
UGGGGUGUCGUCCAACGGCAGGACACACGGCUCUGGACCGUGGAAUCGGGGUUCGAAUCCCUGCACCCCAG